GGCAAUGACAUAUAUCAACAGAAAGUCAGAAAUUCAAGAAAAAGCAAUGAUAUGUCAAGAAACUACCACCAAGUGAUAGUGGAUUUAAAGGCUACUCUGAAGAUGGAACCCCUGGCAGGCAGUACCACAGACAAGCUUGAUUUGGACCUCAUCCUUCCCCACCACUCCACAAGUAAGUCUAGUCUACAUGGGCGUUGUUGGUUCGACCUUUCUACAAAACAUUACCACACAAGAAUGCACCUCCGAAUGGUUCAAGAACAACAAUGCGUAAUGGUUGGUUAAUGGAGUCAGGUUUUGGUCAGAUCGUAAGUUAUAUAUCUCGAUUAUUAAUUUCUUCAUCGCUGGGGUAAUUUAACAAUAAUUAGAUACCAAAUUUUAGCAAUAUAAAAAAAGAAAUAGCUAUAACAUAGUCAUAAUAGAUAGUUAAAUAGUUAUCAUAAUUAUAGUAAUUUCAGUAAGUUUAGAUGUGAAGAUGUGCCGAUGAAAGACGUCUUAAAAAAAGGGCAAUGGUGCCCAAUAGGUCACUUCGAAGCAAGCACAAGAGUUUGUUUUGAGGGAUUUAUUGCGGCUUCAAACCCAGUAUUUUCGAUUGGAACCAAAAAAAUUGUAGAAGCAGUUGCGCCGACAUUGCCGUUGUCCUAACUGUGACUUAGAGAGAGGCGUAGCUUUGCAGCGAAUGGCUUGCCAAAGAAUGCCGCGCAGGUUGCCCGUCCUUGGGUUAAUAUGAGCCAAUUGGAUUUCGGGCAUGCCGGCCAUACCUUCUGGGAGAUAACGAUAAUAAGGAUGCAUAUUAUUUGGUUGGUUAAUUGAGUCA
This is a long non-coding RNA of Actinia tenebrosa (Australian red waratah sea anemone), 814 nucleotides long. The record is from RefSeq and is a predicted model, not a curated record. NCBI's taxonomy places the organism in Eukaryota, Metazoa, Cnidaria, Anthozoa, Actiniaria, Actiniidae.